This 217-nucleotide ribosomal RNA is filed under the name uncultured Fayochytriomyces. Its description in RNAcentral is "partial large subunit ribosomal RNA". It matches the Rfam family "Eukaryotic large subunit ribosomal RNA", at positions 40 to 247 of the family's 3401-position model. Lineage: Eukaryota; Fungi; Chytridiomycota; Chytridiomycetes; Chytridiales; Chytriomycetaceae. The record is from RNAcentral.
AUGUCAGUAAGCGGAGGAAAAGAAACCAACCGGGAUUCCCUUAGUAACUGCGAGUGAAGCGGGAAAAGCUCAAAUUUGAAAUCUGGCAGGCUUAUUCCUGUCCGAAUUGUAGUUUCAAGGAACGUUUUCUGGGGGUAUGGGCGAUGUGUAAGUCCGUUGGAAAACGGCACCAUAGAGGGUGAUAGUCCCGUGUCUGCAUCGCACUUGCCUCCUACUU